RNAcentral lists this ribosomal RNA (2494 nucleotides) under Listeria monocytogenes. RNAcentral describes it as "partial 23S ribosomal RNA". It matches the Rfam family "Bacterial large subunit ribosomal RNA", at positions 1 to 2485 of the family's 2925-position model. The record is from RNAcentral. Lineage: Bacteria; Bacillati; Bacillota; Bacilli; Caryophanales; Listeriaceae.
UUGGUUAAGUUAGAAAGGGCGCACGGUGGAUGCCUUGGCACUAGGAGCCGAAGAAGGACGGGACUAACACCGAUAUGCUUUGGGGAGCUGUACGUAAGCGUUGAUCCAGAGAUUUCCGAAUGGGGGAACCCACUAUCUUUAGUCGGAUAGUAUCCUUACGUGAAUACAUAGCGUGAGGAAGGCAGACCCAGGGAACUGAAACAUCUAAGUACCUGGAGGAAGAGAAAGAAAAAUCGAUUUCCUGAGUAGCGGCGAGCGAAACGGAAAGAGCCCAAACCAAGAAGCUUGCUUCUUGGGGUUGUAGGACACUCUAUACGGAGUUACAAAAGAAAGUUAUAAAUGAAGCGGUCUGGAAAGGCCCGCCAAAGACGGUAACAGCCCGGUAGUUGAAAUGGCUUUCCCUCCAGAGUGGAUCCUGAGUACGGCGGAACACGUGAAAUUCCGUCGGAAUCCGGGAGGACCAUCUCCCAAGGCUAAAUACUCCCUAGUGACCGAUAGUGAACCAGUACCGUGAGGGAAAGGUGAAAAGCACCCCGGAAGGGGAGUGAAACAGUUCCUGAAACCGUGUGCCUACAAGUAGUUAGAGCCCGUUAAUGGGUGAUAGCGUGCCUUUUGUAGAAUGAACCGGCGAGUUACGAUUUGUUGCAAGGUUAAGCGGAAAAAGCGGAGCCGUAGCGAAAGCGAGUCUGAAUAGGGCGCAUAAGUAACAGGUCGUAGACCCGAAACCAGGUGAUCUACCCAUGUCCAGGAUGAAGGUAAGGUAAUACUUACUGGAGGUCCGAACCCACGCACGUUGAAAAGUGCGGGGAUGAGGUGUGGGUAGCGGAGAAAUUCCAAUCGAACUUGGAGAUAGCUGGUUCUCUCCGAAAUAGCUUUAGGGCUAGCCUCGAGGUAAAGAGUCAUGGAGGUAGAGCACUGUUUGGACUAGGGGCCCUUCUCGGGUUACCGAAUUCAGAUAAACUCCGAAUGCCAUGUACUUAUACUCGGGAGUCAGACUGCGAGUGAUAAGAUCCGUAGUCGAAAGGGAAACAGCCCAGACCACCAGUUAAGGUCCCCAAAUAUAUGUUAAGUGGAAAAGGAUGUGGGGUUGCUUAGACAACCAGGAUGUUGGCUUAGAAGCAGCCACCAUUGAAAGAGUGCGUAAUAGCUCACUGGUCGAGUGACCCCGCGCCGAAAAUGUACCGGGGCUAAACAUAUUACCGAAACUGUGGAUGAACCUCUUUAGAGGUUCGUGGUAGGAGAGCGUUCUAAGGGCGGUGAAGUCAGACCGGAAGGACUGGUGGAGCGCUUAGAAGUGAGAAUGCCGGUAUGAGUAGCGAAAGAAGGGUGAGAAUCCCUUCCACCGAAUAUCUAAGGUUUCCUGAGGAAGGCUCGUCCGCUCAGGGUUAGUCGGGACCUAAGCCGAGGCCGAUAGGCGUAGGCGAUGGACAACAGGUAGAGAUUCCUGUACCAGUGCUAAUUGUUUAACCGAUGGGGUGACACAGAAGGAUAGGGAAUCGCACGAAUGGAAAUGUGCGUCCAAGCAGUGAGUGUGAGAAGUAGGCAAAUCCGCUUCUCGCGAAGCAUGAGCUGUGAUGGGGAAGGAAAUUAAGUACGGAAGUUCCUGAUUUCACGCUGUCAAGAAAAGCCUCUAGGAAGAGUAGUACUGCCCGUACCGCAAACCGACACAGGUAGAUGAGGAGAGAAUCCUAAGGUGAGCGAGAGAACUCUCGUUAAGGAACUCGGCAAAAUGACCCCGUAACUUCGGGAGAAGGGGUGCUCUAUUAGGGUGCAAGCCCGAGAGAGCCGCAGUGAAUAGGCCCAGGCGACUGUUUAGCAAAAACACAGGUCUCUGCAAAACCGUAAGGUGACGUAUAGGGGCUGACGCCUGCCCGGUGCUGGAAGGUUAAGAGGAGUGCUUAGCUUCGGCGAAGGUACGAAUUGAAGCCCCAGUAAACGGCGGCCGUAACUAUAACGGUCCUAAGGUAGCGAAAUUCCUUGUCGGGUAAGUUCCGACCCGCACGAAAGGCGCAACGAUCUGGGCACUGUCUCAACGAGAGACUCGGUGAAAUUAUAGUACCUGUGAAGAUGCAGGUUACCCGCGACAGGACGGAAAGACCCCGUGGAGCUUUACUGCAACCUGAUAUGGAAUGUUUGUACCGCUUGUACAGGAUAGGUAGGAGCCGAAGAGACGUGUGCGCUAGCAUACGAGGAGGCAAUGGUGGGAUACUACCCUGGCUGUAUGACCAUUCUAACCCGCCACGCUUAGCGCGUGGGGAGACAGUGUCAGGUGGGCAGUUUGACUGGGGCGGUCGCCUCCUAAAGAGUAACGGAGGCGCCCAAAGGUUCCCUCAGAAUGGAUGGAAAUCAUUCGCAGAGUGUAAAGGCACAAGGGAGCUUGACUGCGAGACUGACAAGUCGAGCAGGGACGAAAGUCGGGCUUAGUGAUCCGGUGGUUCCGCAUGGAAGGGCCAUCGCUCAACGGAUAAAAGCUACCCCGGGGAUAACAGGCUUA